Molecule: non-coding RNA, 73 nt
Organism: Caenorhabditis elegans
Lineage: Eukaryota; Metazoa; Nematoda; Chromadorea; Rhabditida; Rhabditidae
Source: Ensembl
CCCACACUUCCGUUUGCUUUUUCCUGGUGCCACACCUUCAAUGGCUCAUAAAGUUUUGGAAAGGGCUCAGUGA